CCGUGCGGACGACCUGUCCGUACGGACCCCUGACACCGGUACCUGACACGGCCGGUGCAG
Regulatory RNA element from Streptomycetaceae bacterium MP113-05, 60 nucleotides. It matches the Rfam family "L17-Actino-Proteobacteria ribosomal protein leader". NCBI's taxonomy places the organism in Bacteria, Bacillati, Actinomycetota, Actinomycetes, Kitasatosporales, Streptomycetaceae. The record is from Rfam.